This 465-nucleotide ribosomal RNA is filed under the name uncultured bacterium. RNAcentral describes it as "partial 16S ribosomal RNA". It matches the Rfam family "Bacterial small subunit ribosomal RNA", at positions 338 to 795 of the family's 1533-position model. The record is from RNAcentral.
CCUACGGGGGGCAGCAGUGGGGAAUUUUGCGCAAUGCUCGUAAGAGUGACGCAGCGACGCCGCGUGAAUGACGAAGGCCUUCGGGUCGUAAAGUUCUUUCGACAGGGAAGAAAAUGCCUAUAAGUAACUGUGUAUGUAUUGACGGUACCUGUAUAAGCAGCCCCGGCUAACUCCGUGCCAGCAGCCGCGGUAAUAGGGGGGGGGCGAGCGUUGUUCGGAGGGACUGGGCGUAAAGAGCACGUAGGCGGUGUUGUAAGUCAUUAGUCAAAGACUAGAGCUCAACUUUAGUAAGGCUAGUGAUACUAUAAUACUAGAGUAUCAGAGAGGAUUGCAGAAUUGCUGGUGUAGCGGUGAAAUGCGUAGAUAUCAGGAGGAAUACCGUUAGCGAAGGCGGCAAUCUGGCUGGAAACUGACGCUGAGGUGCGAAAGCGUGGGUAGCAAACAGGAUUAGAUACCCUAGUAGUC